This 301-nucleotide ribosomal RNA is filed under the name uncultured bacterium. Its description in RNAcentral is "partial 16S ribosomal RNA". It matches the Rfam family "Bacterial small subunit ribosomal RNA", at positions 509 to 807 of the family's 1533-position model. The record is from RNAcentral.
CAGUAGCCACGGGAAUACGAAGGGGGCUAGCGUUGCUCGGAAUUACUGGGCGUAAAGGGAGCGUAGGCGGACAUUUAAGUCAGGGGUGAAAUCCCAGAGCUCAACUCUGGAACUGCCUUUGAUACUGGGUGUCUUGAGUGUGAUAGAGGUAUGUGGAACUCCGAGAGUAGAGGUGAAAUUCGUAGAUAUUCGGAAGAACACCAGUGGCGAAGGCGACAUACUGGAUCAUUACUGACGCUGAGGCUUGAAAGCGUGGGGAGCAAACAGGAUUAGAUACCCCCGUAGUCCCUGUCUCUUAUAC